RNAcentral lists this ribosomal RNA (602 nucleotides) under Stanjemonium dichromosporum. RNAcentral describes it as "eukaryotic LSU rRNA". It matches the Rfam family "Eukaryotic large subunit ribosomal RNA", at positions 38 to 667 of the family's 3401-position model. Lineage: Eukaryota; Fungi; Ascomycota; Sordariomycetes; Hypocreales; Bionectriaceae. The record is from RNAcentral.
GCAUAUCAAUAAGCGGAGGAAAAGAAACCAACAGGGAUUGCCCCAGUAACGGCGAGUGAAGCGGCAACAGCUCAAAUUUGAAAUCUGGCCUCGUGCCCGAGUUGUAAUUUGUAGAGGAUGCUUCUGGCGACGCGCCUUCCGAGUUCCCUGGAACGGGACGCCAUAGAGGGUGAGAGCCCCGUCCGGUCGUGCGCCUAGCCUCUGUGAAGCUCCUUCGACGAGUCGAGUAGUUUGGGAAUGCUGCUCUAAAUGGGAGGUAUACGUCUUCUAAAGCUAAAUACCGGCCAGAGACCGAUAGCGCACAAGUAGAGUGAUCGAAAGAUGAAAAGCACUUUGAAAAGAGGGUUAAAUAGUACGUGAAAUUGCUGAAAGGGAAGCGCUUAUGACCAGACUUGGGCGCGGCGGAUCAUCCGGCGUUCUCGCCGGUGCACUCCACCGCCCCAGGCCAGCAUCAGCUCGCGCCGGGGGACAAAGGCUUCGGGAAUGUGGCUCCCUCGGGAGUGUUAUAGCCCGCUGCGUAAUACCCUGGUGCGGGCUGAGGUCCGCGCUCUGCAAGGAUGCUGGCGUAAUGGUCAUCAGUGACCCGUCUUGAAACACGGACC